GCCUGGUAGCUCAAUUGGUCAGAGCGUCAUCCCGAUAUGUGAAGGUUGUGGGUUCAAUCCCCAGUCCAGGCA
This 72-nucleotide transfer RNA is filed under the name Myotis lucifugus (little brown bat). It matches the Rfam family "tRNA". From Rfam's summary of the family: Transfer RNA (tRNA) molecules are approximately 80 nucleotides in length. The record is from Rfam by way of RNAcentral. Lineage: Eukaryota; Metazoa; Chordata; Mammalia; Chiroptera; Vespertilionidae.